GCGGGGAUGCCGGAGCGGCCAAACGGGGUGGACUCAAGAUCCACUGGCUUAGUGCCUACGCAGGUUCAAAUCCUGUUCCCCGCA
This 84-nucleotide transfer RNA is filed under the name Candidatus Woesearchaeota archaeon. RNAcentral describes it as "tRNA-Leu". It matches the Rfam family "tRNA". Rfam says of the family: Transfer RNA (tRNA) molecules are approximately 80 nucleotides in length. Their secondary structure includes four short double-helical elements and three loops (D, anti-codon, and T loops). Further hydrogen bonds mediate the characteristic L-shaped molecular structure. tRNAs have two regions of fundamental functional importance: the anti-codon, which is responsible for specific mRNA codon recognition, and the 3' end, to which the tRNAs corresponding amino acid is attached (by aminoacyl-tRNA synthetases). tRNAs cope with the degeneracy of the genetic code in two manners: having more than one tRNA (with a specific anti-codon) for a particular amino acid; and 'wobble' base-pairing, i.e. permitting non-standard base-pairing at the 3rd anti-codon position. The record is from RNAcentral. Lineage: Archaea; Nanobdellati; Candidatus Woesearchaeota.